RNAcentral lists this ribosomal RNA (433 nucleotides) under uncultured bacterium. Its description in RNAcentral is "partial 16S ribosomal RNA". It matches the Rfam family "Bacterial small subunit ribosomal RNA", at positions 29 to 507 of the family's 1533-position model. The record is from RNAcentral.
AACGAACGCUGGCGGCAUGCCUAACACAUGCAAGUCGAACGAGACCUUCGGGUCUAGUGGCGCACGGGUGCGUAACGCGUGGGAACCUGCCCUUAGGUUCGGAAUAACUCCCCGAAAGGGGUGCUAAUACCGGAUAAUGUCUUCGGACCAAAGAUUUAUCGCCUUUGGAUGGGCCCGCGUUGGAUUAGCUAGUUGGUAGGGUAAAAGCCUACCAAGGCGACGAUCCAUAGCUGGUCUGAGAGGAUGAUCAGCCCCACUGGGACUGAGACACGGCCCAGACUCCUACGGGAGGCAGCAGUGGGGAAUAUUGGACAAUGGGCGAAAGCCUGAUUCAGCAAUGCCGCGUGAGUGAUGAAGGCCUUAGGGUUGUAAAGCUCUUUUACCCGGGAUGAUAAUGACAGUACCGGGAGAAUAAGCUCCGGCUAACUCCGUG